This 456-nucleotide long non-coding RNA is filed under the name Rattus norvegicus (Norway rat). Its description in RNAcentral is "long non-coding RNA NONRATT030865". Lineage: Eukaryota; Metazoa; Chordata; Mammalia; Rodentia; Muridae. The record is from RNAcentral.
GGCUGUUUCAGUUGAGCCAAGGAAUGGGAGGCGCCCUAGCCUGCCCGCAGGCCACAGCGCUUGGAAUCCUGCCUUCCCUGCUAUCUCCCUGAGGCAAGGGGUUGGAGGAGUGUUUCUCAAUGAGUCUCCACCUUACUUAUUGAGACACAGUGUGUCACUGAACCUGGAGCUCACUGACUCAACUUGACUGGGUAGCCAACAAACCCUAGGGACCCUGCUAUCCCUCAGCUUCUCCAGGAUUGUGAUUCCAUGCAUGUAUCACCGUGCCCAGGACGUUCUGACAAAUGCUCUAACAUUAAGCCAAGUGAAAUCAGCCAGUGACAAAAAUACAAAUGUUCUGAUCACACUUAACUAAGGGCUCGGGUGUGGCGCAGUUGUAGAACACUUGACUCCAUAAAGCCAUGGAUUCCAUUGUCAGCAGUGCAAAAAGAAAUAAAUGAACUUAUAUUUAUCAAA